UACGUAGGUGGCAAGCGUUGUCCGGAAUUAUUGGGCGUAAAGCGCGCGCAGGUGGUCCUUUAAGUCUGAUGUGAAAGCCCACGGCUCAACCGUGGAGGGUCAUUGGAAACUGGGGGACUUGAGUACAGAAGAGGAAAGUGGAAUUCCACGUGUAGCGGUGAAAUGCGUAGAGAUGUGGAGGAACACCAGUGGCGAAGGCGACUUUCUGGUCUAUAACUGACACUGAGGCGCGAAAGCUUGGGGAGCGAACAGG
Molecule: ribosomal RNA, 253 nt
Filed under: uncultured bacterium
Lineage: Bacteria
Description: partial 16S ribosomal RNA
Rfam family: Bacterial small subunit ribosomal RNA
Source: RNAcentral